GCCCGCGACCGUUACCGAAAAACAAACACCUACUUGACCCCUUCAACCUACUCCUACUCCUACUUGAGAAAGAUGAAGAAGAGCAUGAGAGUUUCAUUCCUGGUGGCCUUGACAGCGGGGCUUGCUGUCUUGAGCGUCGUGAGCGCUGAGGAUGCACCCGCUGCUGCCUUGCCGGAGAGCUGCACGAACUUGGACCCCUCGACGUUGGACACGUCCAACCCCGCGGC
Molecule: non-coding RNA, 227 nt
Filed under: Chloropicon mariensis
Lineage: Eukaryota; Viridiplantae; Chlorophyta; Chloropicophyceae; Chloropicales; Chloropicaceae
Source: RNAcentral